RNAcentral lists this long non-coding RNA (2433 nucleotides) under Eptatretus burgeri (inshore hagfish). RNAcentral describes it as "lncRNA (ENSEBUG00000017269.1)". The record is from RNAcentral. Lineage: Eukaryota; Metazoa; Chordata; Myxini; Myxiniformes; Myxinidae.
UAUGGCACCAAGGAUUAAAAACUGAUGAACUUGUACAGAUUUAAUUUAUAGAGAAUGUCUGAGCUUAUCUGUGCAGGUGGUCAAGAGGAAUAUAUGAAAUACAGUGAAAGGUAAGGUGUGUAAAGCAGAUACUUUUUGAGUGUUUUUGUGCUGUAUUAUUUUAAGGUCAGCUAUUAGGAGCUAUGUUUUCAUUCUGUCUCUCCUGUUCCUUCAUCCUCACCUAUUUUACCUCUUCCUAUUUGCCUCUCUCUUAAUUUCUAUUCUCCUCUCCUCCCUCUACCUUGUGACAGGACCAGCAUCCCCAACUGACAAACCUGACAUCAACUCAACCAUUCCAAAGACCACCUGGACCUCCGAUCCCAAUGUACUCCCCAUCAUGCACUUCUCAAACCAAUGCAUCAACUGCUCUCUCCAUCCAUAAUAGCCAAUUUGGAGGACUUUCCUCCUGCCAAUCUUGGACUGCUCUUCCAUGUUUAAUUAAAUCUGGGUCCUCCAUCAGCAGUCAAUUUUCCAUGACGUCGAUGAAUAUAACUCCAUCACCUUCAAAUUCUUUAGCGGUGACCCAGCCCAAACUGCGAGUCAUUCCUGAGACACAGGAACCAGCUGAAUGGCAAAUCAACUCUCCUUCAACUUUUGUGGAUCAGAAAUCCCUAUCAGACAACCUGGAAUGGAAAGUUGCAUCCACCGACAAGAAGUCAUCAUCUUUCCUAAAACCAACUCAAGUGAAUGUUGUACCAACCACACAAAUUUUCAGUUCUCAGAGCUCCCAGGGACAGAUACUUCCCAUCUUUAAAAGUAGCAUUCAGAAGCUCACCAGUGUUUUUCCUCCAACAUCUCUUUCCAAUAACCACAAGGUGAACAGCUUUGCACAGCAUGUACUGGCAGGUGGAGGUCUUGGUACUAAUCAUCACAGUUGCAGUCCUAAAGGUUCCUUCCAAAAAGUGAAACCACCCUUUGUGCCACGUUUCAAACCAAUUUUGUUGCAUACAAAACAGGUUGUUAGGAAGAAAGAAGGGGAAAAUGACAAAGAAAAGGAAUAUACCACACAAAAAAGCAGCAGAACAGCGAAUCCAUUUGAGGUUUCCAGCAAUACUUCAAUUGCACGUUCUAGUUUUUUCCCUGAAAAAUUCAAGCGAAAACAUGAGGAGGACAUCAGCAUUGUGAAAAAGAAAAGGGUUUGCCCAAAACCAGCUGUUCAGGAUGUGGACAUUGCAAAGUUUGCUGUUAAUGUUCAGGUUGUGCAUUUUGUCUUUCUCUAUUUUUGAUUGAUAGUUUCUGAUCAACAGUACCUGAUUAUAAUAUCCUGUCAUGACUUGUUUCAGUAUAAGGUUUGUAUUAUUAGAAUGCCAUGCUACUUGCUAACUCAAUCCAAAUUGCUUAUUGUUCUUCAGUCGGGAAAAGUUACGACUGCUACUUUGAUCUCUUGGUUGAAGACCAAAGGUAUUCCUGUUCAUUCAAGGGAGAAAAAGGAGAUUUUGAUGAAAAAGGUUCAAGAAUACAUUGCCACUCAGAAACCUGAAAUGUGAUCAAUAUUUGUGAGCUUGUGUUUGUUGGGUGUAGUUCAGUUCUCAGUAUUCUCAGUCAUUAAAUUUGUUACAACUUGAUGCAAUAGCUUUAACUAACUUUAUUGUGCAAUGUUGGCUUUAAAUGGAAUUCACCUGUAUUUCCAAAAGUAACUGGACAACACACACAAAGUUGGAAUGAACCCUUCCUACCGGACUGCAUAUUUUCACACAAUGUACAAAGGACGUCCUUUAUAAAUGUGUGCAACACCAACUGAAACCCGGUUGUAAUUAAGAUCGCAUGAGGUAAUGAGCGGACUGAAAUUUAACAUGGAAUAGUUGUUGGAUAACAGAGUUCCAUGGUAUUUCCAAUACAACUGUGAGUCAAUUAUUGUCAAUCGAUCAACUGUGAGUGAUGUCUUGAGGUAAUUAUUUGUUUAAUUUUUUUAAGCGACACGCACACAUUAUAACUGUGAGCAGUUAUUCCAGGGCCCAAGCCCUGGCAUAAUUCUAUCCGUUAUGGGUGCCAGACCACGUAACAUAUGAAGUUUACAUUUUCAAACUAUAUUCCCCAUGGGUAGUCCAUCAUAUUUAUGGUUUCACAUUCAUUGGUUCAGCAGUUUGAGAGAAGAUGAUUUUUUAAUACUUUACAUUCGAUCCAACAUGGUUGCCUGAUCACAUGACUGAUGACGUUUCAAUUUCCAAUCUAUAUUCCCCAUGAAUAGUCAAUCAUAUAUAUGAAGUUUUUUUUAUCCAUCAAUUAAAUGGUUCAGGAGAAGGAAUCAUUUUUAGGUUUUUGUUCAAUCCAAUAUGGCUGCCAGACCACAUGACCGUGAUGUUUUGUGAUAAUACUUUUAUCCCCAUGGAUAAUCGAUACUAUAUUUAGUUUUGUAUCCAUUAGUUCAGCAGUUUGAGAAGAUUUUUAAUCCAU